Molecule: ribosomal RNA, 274 nt
Filed under: uncultured bacterium
Lineage: Bacteria
Description: partial 16S ribosomal RNA
Rfam family: Bacterial small subunit ribosomal RNA
Source: RNAcentral
AUACGGAGGGUGCAAGCGUUAUCCGGAUUUAUUGGGUUUAAAGGGUGCGCAGGCGGACCUGUCAGUCAGUGGUGAAAUCCCGGGGCUCAACCCCGGAACUGCCAUUGAUACUACAGGUCUUGAAUACGGUUGAAGUAGGCGGAAUGUAGCAUGUAGCGGUGAAAUGCAUAGAUAUGCUACAGAACACCGAUCGCGAAGGCAGCUUACUAAGCCGAUAUUGACGCUCAGGCACGAAAGCGUGGGGAGCGAACAGGAUUAGAAACCCGAGUAGUCC